This is a long non-coding RNA of Pseudopipra pipra, 2457 nucleotides long. RefSeq lists it as uncharacterized. The transcript has 2 exons. The record is from RefSeq and is a predicted model, not a curated record. NCBI's taxonomy places the organism in Eukaryota, Metazoa, Chordata, Aves, Passeriformes, Pipridae.
CGAGAACCGGGGAGCGAGUCCCUCACGGCGAAGGGGGAGGACGGGGACGGGUCAGGGGUCCCCUCUGCAUUUCGGGGGGCAACAGCACUGGGGAAGUGACCAGAACGUGGUGGCCCCUUCCCUCGCCACAAGGGAAAGGGCGAGGAGCCGUCCAGAGACUCACUCAAAGGCCUCCAGAGGAAGGGGUCGGAACACCCCCCGCUGCCCCUCUCGGAAAACUGGGGGGACUUCCCACAUCUCUGGGGCACCUCAGCCCCGUCAAAGGGUGCGGAGAGGGUGGCAGAUCCCAGGCGUGCUGCUGACCCAGCUGUGGAAGAUGAGCCCAAAUCUUCCUUCCCUCUUUCCCUCACGGGCCCGGCCCUCGGACAGUUUAAAAGGGCGCUAAAAACCAUUAGAAAACAGUUUAAAGAGCACUAAAGGCAUCUCCCUUGUCCUCCCGGAGCAGCUUCACACUGAGGAUGCUGCGGAAUGCCGCCGCUCACCUCAGCACAACCUGCGCUCGCAAAAUUGUGCGCGUUUAUUUAUUUAUCGAUGUGCAGUAUUACAAGGCAAAAAUGCAGAGCCCGGGCACGGAAGAAACUAGAACACGAUGCUUCCUUCCACGCUGCGGUAGCCACGGGGGUUUUUCGCCCCCCACCCCCCGUUGAGAUUACUGAGGCAGAGGAUGGAUUUAAGAUUAUCAAUAAGCAAGAGAAAAUAAAUUGGAGGGGAGGGUACAAGGCGGAGGGAAAACAAUGGAACUGAUGAAACAAGGGAGGACAGGAAAAUUGAACAAGGCUGAAGAGACGAACAGAAAAGUCUCUGCCACCCGCAGUCCCGGUGUUGGUCAGAUGCGAUGCUGCUUUCAGAACAGUCAAUUCAACCAACAAGAAAUGCAGCUUCAAAGACAAAUAGCUGACCUACCCGGCUUCAGGGCAGAGAUGAGGAGGGGAAAGAAAAAAGAGGGAGAGAGAGGGGGAAAUAGAAAGAGAGGCAUGUUCUUUUGGAAGUCAGAUGUCUGCGGCCUCUGCUCCGUGCACACUGCUGGUGGCGAGGCUCCGUCCUUUCCAGGACCAUCUCCCACCUUAUCUCCUUGCCCGUGGCGAGAGCCACCUCCUUGUCCUGCUCCCCGGAGACACUCUAAUUCCUAGAUGCCUCUUGGGCUCUGCAGCUGCUGUUUUGCAACUGGUCUUCCCAAAUAAUUGAAUGUUCUUGCAAGGAGAAGUUGCUUCAAAGCUUUGUCCUGCCUUAAAGACUCUUAGAGACCCCCCAACGUUCUAGAAAUGGGAAUCUAACAGCAUAGUAGCAGGUAACUUCACUGAUGGUCAUUAACACCUCCCGGUGUCCCGGUAAUUUAAGUAGUGGUGCCGAGGGAGGCUGAGGUUCCCAUAGAUUCAGAGACCCCAGUUCACCCGGAAGGUGGUCAGUCAGUUCAACAGGCUUUGGAUAAAGCCGGCAGGGACUUCCUGGUUAAUUCCCCCUAAGGACUGUCCCCACCUGGACUUGUCAGGGCCCAGGAGCUCCUUUACCCAUUUCUUUAUUACAAGGACUCCCAUCCGACGUUAUCGCUCUGCACCCACCUCCUGUGUCCCGCUGGUUGCACCGUGUUUGGUUUUUCCUUCUUCCCUACAGAAAAAAACCUCAACCAAAGCCACAAACAAACAUUUUCAUUACCGAUGGCAAGCAGGAAGGACUCUUUCAUAGUAUUAUCUCUAAUCAAUGAUGAAUGGGUUGCACUAUGAAAAGAGAUAUGGUCAAUUCGGGGAUCAAAAAGGGCUCCCAAACCCACUCCCUCUCGCUGUCAGACCCCCAGGCCCAUCACUCCGCAUCUCGGUGGGCUCCAUGCCCCUCUCCUGUGGUUCUGGUGGCUCCCCCGAGUCCUGAUUGCCGCUCCUCCAGCUGAUGGAGAGGGCAAAGAAACCCCCAGAGAGAACAAGGCACCCCCGUGCACCCAGCAGCACAUAUUAUCGAGUUUGGGAAGGUCUCUGGAGACACCCCACCGAAUCCCCCCAGAAGAAAGCAGGGAACCUUCACUGCCUAAUUUAUCGGGAUAAGGAGUGGAAAGUUGUUGUCCUCAUGAAGCUGCUCGGGCAUAAACUUGCUCCCUGAAGCAGCACUGUAAUGCCGGAGCCCAAGCAAAUGCCAACCUUCACCCAUGGCCCCAGUCCUGUUUCCGAGCCCGGGGUGGUGCCUGACUCCCACAUGGUACCCAAAUCUAAGAAGGAGCUCACUCACAAGAAAGGAGGGACCCUGUUUCCCUCGCAGCCUUCAUCCACAGCGAGUCACCUCCAGGAAGGGCUGGAGUCCAGCUCAGUGCCAGCGCCCAGACCAGCCGGGACACAAUAUUUGUCCUGGACUCAGCCCCGGGAGCAUUUAGACACGACACUACCUCAGGGUGUCUAACCCUGGUUCUUCACCUCCCCCAAACACGCGAAUUGUCCCCAUUCCUGCUCUCUGCUAAAUAAGUUUUCGUGACAA